Molecule: ribosomal RNA, 430 nt
Filed under: uncultured bacterium
Lineage: Bacteria
Description: bacterial SSU rRNA
Rfam family: Bacterial small subunit ribosomal RNA
Source: RNAcentral
CGCGAAGAACCUUACCUAGACUUGACAUCUCCUGCAUUACCCUUAAUCGGGGAAGUUCCUUCGGGGGCAAAGUGACAGGUGGUGCAUGGUUGUCGUCAGCUCGUGUCGUGAGAUGUUGGGUUAAGUCCCGCAACGAGCGCAACCCUUAUUGUUAGUUGCCAUCAUUCAGUUGGGCACUCUAGCAAGACUGCCGGUGACAAACCGGAGGAAGGUGGGGAUGACGUCAAAUCAUCAUGCCCCUUAUGACCUGGGCUACACACGUGCUACAAUGGGAAGUACAACGAGUCGCGAAGUCGCGAGGCUAAGCUAAUCUCUUAAAGCUUCUCUCAGUUCGGAUUGCAGGCUGCAACUCGCCUGCAUGAAGCCGGAAUCGCUAGUAAUCGCGGAUCAGCACGCCGCGGUGAAUACGUUCCCGGGUCUUGUACACACC